RNAcentral lists this ribosomal RNA (123 nucleotides) under Oryctolagus cuniculus (rabbit). Lineage: Eukaryota; Metazoa; Chordata; Mammalia; Lagomorpha; Leporidae. The record is from RNAcentral.
GUCUACGGCCAUACCACCCUGAACGCGCCCGAUCUCGUCUGAUCUUGGAAGCUAAGCAGGGUCGGGCCUGGUUAGUACUUGGAUGGGAGAGUUACAAGAGAAAAAAAAACACCACUUUGGUUU